UACGGAAGGUGCAAGCGUUGUUCGGAAUUACUGGGCGUAAAGAGCACGUAGGCGGGUCUGUAUGUCGAUUGUGAAAGCCCUAGGCUUAACCUAGGAAUUGCAGUCGAAACUGCAGAUCUUGAAUAUCUGAGAGGGCGGGGGAAUUCCUGGUGGAGAAGUGAAAUUCGUAGAUAUCAGGAGGAACACCAGAGGUGAAGACGCCUACCUGGCAGAAUAUUGACGCUGAGGUGCGAAAGCGUGGGGAGCAAAC
This 250-nucleotide ribosomal RNA is filed under the name uncultured bacterium. RNAcentral describes it as "partial 16S ribosomal RNA". It matches the Rfam family "Bacterial small subunit ribosomal RNA", at positions 524 to 773 of the family's 1533-position model. The record is from RNAcentral.